AUCCAGUUGGUAAGUCCCAAAUGGGAUGAAACGCGCGUCCUGGAU
Schistosoma rodhaini is the source of this 45-nucleotide non-coding RNA. The record is from Rfam. NCBI's taxonomy places the organism in Eukaryota, Metazoa, Platyhelminthes, Trematoda, Strigeidida, Schistosomatidae.